AACUUUGGGUUUUUUCUUUUUUCCGCCAUUUGAUUUCUUUCACGGCAUAUUUUGAACAAAAUGAGUUCAAUAAUUAGGGUUUUUAAUCUUUAUUGUGUCUAGUAUGAUUUAAAAUUUUCAAUUUUACGUAAUCUGGUCAAUUACAGCAAGAAAUUUGAUAUGAACAGUGAGAUGUCUGCGGAACCAAAUUCCGCUGUUUUUUUUUUUUUUCUGCCUUUUGAUUUUGUUUUCAUGAUAUAUUAGAAAUAAUGUGUUAAAAAUUUAGGUUUUUGAUUCCUUAUAUUGUUGUUUAUCAGAAAAUAUACUCAAUUGGAUGUAAUUUAUUCA
This 327-nucleotide long non-coding RNA is filed under the name Amborella trichopoda. RNAcentral describes it as "long non-coding RNA (ATRI_LNC000941)". The record is from RNAcentral. Lineage: Eukaryota; Viridiplantae; Streptophyta; Magnoliopsida; Amborellales; Amborellaceae.